AGAAGCUUGAUGUGGCAUCCUUAUCUUUCCAUUCCCAUCUCAGACCUAGGCAUUCUUGUGACUCAUGGCUCAAAUAUUGCUUUAACGGAGGGCACAUUUCCUUCCAUAUCUGCCAAAUUCAACUUAAGACAUGCAAUGUCUCAGAAACCAACGCAUUUUCUGGUUUUAUUGAGGGGAGCAUCUAUCAAAGUCGAUGAAAGUUAAAUUUCUUUUAUUUUAUUACCAACUCAGGCCCUUGAAAGCAACGAGAGCAAUAACUCCACCAUAUAUUCCAUCGAUAUCUUUUACUAUGAAGUCACAUUAAGAUGGAAGCUUACAACUGAUUUACAGUAGGAUUUUUGUGAAGGUUUUCUCUUAGUCAUGAUACACACCACCAUGACUGCUUAUUUAUUUAGGUUGAUUUUAUUAUAUCUAGGAAAUUAACAAAAGCAUUUCGGCAAUAGGUGCAAAGAGAAAUUUGUUAGAAGAGCUAAAUUCACAAUGGUCAAUCAGUGGUAAUAAACACACCAUGCUCAA
Long non-coding RNA from Cryptomeria japonica (Japanese cedar), 516 nucleotides. RefSeq lists it as uncharacterized. The transcript is spliced from 2 exons. Lineage: Eukaryota; Viridiplantae; Streptophyta; Pinopsida; Cupressales; Cupressaceae. The record is from RefSeq and is a predicted model, not a curated record.